GCAGCGAAAAUAUCAAACAAUUAGAGAGUUGAGAGAGAGAGAGAGAUUUACAAACAAGGUUUAUACUGGUUCACUCAAUUCCUGAGCUACAUGCAGUCCUCAGUCAAACCACUAAGUAUUCCACUAUGUAACCAAACACAGAUUACAAACACCCACAAAGAGGUGAUCCUGAAACCACAAGACCUACUCACCCUCUUUGAACACAACACACACCUCAAGCCAGAAUCACACUCACUUUACAGGAUUUUACAAACACGUUUACAGAAUGUAAUAUGAACAAUUACAAGAAACUAAGACAGAGUAGAAAACAUCCGGAAUCAGUAAAUCAGAAGCCCUAUGAUCAGUUCUUGAAUCACAGCAAAGCUCAAAAGCAAUCUAUCUAAACUUGAAAAACUCCUUUUCACAAACAGAUUGUAAUCUUUCUUUUUGAUCUCAAAUCAGAGUGUAAAACUUCUAUAUUUCUCUCGCAUGAAACUUUUGAAAGAAGGCUAUAUUUAUAACCUUUGAAAAACUAUCGUUUAAGGCAGAUUUGAACAACUGAAUCAAUUAAAACAGGUUUUCAAAAUACUGUUAUGAAAACUUACUUUUAAUCGGUUGAAACCACGAUAUAACCGGUUGAAUGGUUUCAGCAGUUACACAACUGAUUCAAAAAACAAUUUCAAAACUCCUUUGCCAGCUAAGUGACAAACAACCGAUUGUCUCGAAACCUUAAUCGGUUGUUUUUCCCUUUGCAUGGAAAAAACACUUAGUUCUUUAAAACAGAUUGCAACAACUUUCUGUAGGAAUCAAGACUGAUCUUACAAAGAUUCUAAACCCCAUAACUAAACCCAAACCUAAAACACAACACAACUUCAGGUUCCAUGAGGAUUUGAUACAUCAAAGCUUCCCAUCUUCAACAUUCUAGUGUGAUGUAAUCUUUACCAAUGACUCAAAUGGGAAAUUUGACAAACAAAAUUGUCAUUGAAUCUUUAUCUUCCAUCUUCACACUUAAUUCUUUAUAAACGCUUAAGAAUGUGACAAAAUUCUCAAAUAAAGAGGGAAAACGUACCUAAAGAAUCACCUUUAAAUCUUCAAUCCUCACAACCAUGUCUCUUAAGCUCUGUCAAAAUUAUAUACAUCUUGUUAACGAAAAUAUCAACAAACUGAGUUCGUAUGCUCCUACAUAAAAUAUGAUUAAGUUACACUCUCCAACACAUCGUGAGAUUUUACUUUAUGUAAACCUUAAAAGGUUGGAAGGAUCUUGACCAACUCAAGAUGUUUUGGAGAAGAGAAACUCCAGAGGUUUUUGAAGCAUUAAUGUCGAAAGCAUGUAAUCCAUGGUGAAAUCCAUUUUGUUUGCAUUAGUUUCAAUGUAAAAAUAAGAAUAAGUAAAGAAAUGAAAACAAAAAAUGAAUUAAGACAAGAGAAUGGAGAAGAACUUGCCACCUUUAAUUUAAGAACCAAAGGAUAAGUUUGACAAGAUUUACCACUUGAGAAAGCUUCUAAAGAUAAAAACAAAAGAAAGAAUAGAGAACUCUCAAAACUUUCAAAGUGAACUCACAAAGGAAAAUUUCAUUUAAUUUUCAAAAGUGUGUUUACAAAUGGAAUAGACUCUCUUAUGUAAAGGGUGAAUUUUUCCAAGGAGUGGAAAAGAGAGAAGAAAAUUUAUUUAACUUUUC
Molecule: long non-coding RNA, 1658 nt
Filed under: Phaseolus vulgaris (common bean)
Lineage: Eukaryota; Viridiplantae; Streptophyta; Magnoliopsida; Fabales; Fabaceae
Description: long non-coding RNA (PVUL_LNC001581)
Source: RNAcentral